GCGCGCCGCCCGCCCCGCGCUGCUCUUCCUCCUCCUCCUCCUCCUCUUCCUCGCGGCAGCCCUGCGGCUGCCGUGAUGCCCCGUGGAGCAGCGCGGCGGGGGCACGUGUGUGCGUGCGUGUGUGUGUUCGUGCAUGGCAGGAGCGAGUGCGUGGGUGCGCGCAUGCGUGAGUGUGCAGGUGUGUGCGUGCAUGCGUCUGUGGGCUGCUGUGUGUGUGUGUGCACGUGCAAUGGUGCGAGUGCCUGGGCGUGUGUGCCCGCAUCUGAGGCGUGAGUGCAUGGGCACGCACACAUGUGAGUGUGCACGCCCAUGCGCAUGUGAGGUGUGAGUGCAUGUGUGUGCACUCAGGUGAGUGUGCGUGUGCUGCGCUGUGUGUGCACGCAUGUUGGUGUGCAUGCCUUUGCAUGUGCACGUGCAUGUGAGGUGUGAGUGCAUGUGUAUGCACAUCCAUGAGUGUGCACGUGUGUGCAUGCGUUUGUGUGCUGCAGUGUAUGCCCGCACAAGGGUGUGCAUGCCUUUGUGUGUGCACAUGCAUGCGAGGCGUGACUGCAUGUGUGCACACACAUUAGUGUGCAUGCCUUUGUGCACACGCAUGUGUGGGAUGAGUGCCUCUGUGUGCCUGCAUGUGAGCGUGCAUGUGUUUGUGAGCACGUGUGUGUGCACAUGCAUUUUUGUGCAUGCCUUUUUGUGCGUGCAUGUGAGGGGGCGAGCACAUGUGUGUAAGUGCACGUGUUUGCGAGCGUGCACGUUGYGUGCGCACAAGCGGCUGUGUGCAUGCAUUUGUGUUUGUAUGCGCGUGUGGAAGGAGAGCGCACACGUUUGUGUGCGUGCGUGCACGGGGGUGAUUGCAUGUGUGUACACGUGUGCUUGUGCACAGCCGGGUGCGUGCGUGUGUUCCCGUGCGAGAACGUGUGCGUGCAGGCAUGCACAUGUGCAGCAGAGCACAUGCGUGUGCACGUGAGGCCACGUGUGUGCACGGCACCGUCAGCCAGGACAAGAGCGUCACGGCAGCAGCCGGAGCCAAGGCCUUGGAMGCUCAGGACUUGGCCACCCCCGUGUUUGGGAAAGGCGCCCUGACCCCAAACCGGGACCUUUUCACCCCAAAACGCCCAGCGCAGGGGCUCCAACACCCUGAACCUCCGCAGCCCGCCAGGACGAGGCAGCCCGCAGCAGCGCCAGCAGCCGGGACGGCUCCGCAUUCCCCUCUCACGGCCGUCUCAGCCUUCACUUUUGGGCCAAAACCCGCCCGGAACGGGAGCGCUGCCCGGUGGGGUUUUUGGGAGCGAAGCCUGGCGGAGGAGCCAGGCGCUCAGCUGCCUGGGAAGCACCGCAGGACUUUCCACCCGGCAUCUCCGCUGUUCCCAGCGCCCCGCUGUCCCUGGCGUCCCUGCUGUCCCCCGGCGUCCCCAGUGUCUCCAGCAUCCCUGGGGGGGGGGGGGUUGGUGGCCCCCCAGAGGAGCCCCCAGCCCCCUCUCCGUGCCCAGGGCCGCGGCGAUGGGGGCCCGCGGGGGGCUGCUGUGCGCCGCCUCCGGCCUGGUGCUGCUGCUCACGGCCACCGCCACCGACUUCUGGGUGCAGCAGCGGGCGCCCGGCGGCGCCGGCUGCCAGGGCCUCUGGCGCGUCUGCGUGGGCAGCGUCUGCCGCCCCCAUCCCGGCACCCCGGGUAGGUGCCCGGAGCGCGGCACGAGGGCUGGGGCGGGCGCUGAGGGGCACUGCUGGGCUGAGUUGUGUCAGGUCUCUGCGGGGGGGGGGAGCUGGGGACGGGCACUGCUGGGCUGAGCUGUGUCGGGUCUCUGCCAGGGGGGAGCUGGGGACGGGC
This is a long non-coding RNA of Apteryx haastii (Great spotted kiwi), 1819 nucleotides long. NCBI's taxonomy places the organism in Eukaryota, Metazoa, Chordata, Aves, Apterygiformes, Apterygidae. The record is from Ensembl.